Molecule: long non-coding RNA, 363 nt
Filed under: Ananas comosus (pineapple)
Lineage: Eukaryota; Viridiplantae; Streptophyta; Magnoliopsida; Poales; Bromeliaceae
Description: long non-coding RNA (ACOM_LNC021017)
Source: RNAcentral
UAGGAUGCAUCUAACGAACAAAAACGAGAAGCCUGUAAUUAAUUAGACACAUUAUUAAAUAGUUUAAAAAUACACCUGUAAAGACUGAAAAUUUAUAUAUGUCCACCAUUAAUAAAAAAAAAAAAGAAACCCAACAUCACCAACAUAUCCUUAAAACAAAUAAACCAAUUAAUUAUUUACUUUUUUACAAUUUAUGUUAUCAUUCCAUAAAGAACUAACGAAAUAUAAAAAUCGCGGUAAGGUAAAGAAACUUAAUAUGAAAUUGUUAGAACUGAUCUUUAAUUUAGCCAAUUAAAAUAAAGAUGCCUAGAGGAGAUAAAUAAUUAGCUAGUAAAGAACCUGCAUGUAUACAUGCUCAAGAAA